GAACCUCUAAGUCUCCACACCAAGGUAAGAUGUGAAGAAGAGAUGAGUGACCUUGGAGGAGAAAGAUUACUAUGUCACAGCCCAUCCCGAGAUUUUCAUAUCGGGAGUGUGAAAUGACGAAAGUACCCUUGACGUUAUUAAGGUAUGUGUGUGUAUGAUCUAUUAUUUGGACUAAAUAUACAUUCCUAAACUUUUGGAGAAAAUAAUUUAAGUUGGAUUAAAAAUGUUAUUUGAAUUUGUGUGGUUAGGGAUUAAAAAUGUAUGGUUUUGGUUGGACCACACAACCUGUCAAACCUCUCUCCCUCUCCUUCCCGUAUGCUCUCUCUCUCUCCUCUCUCACGACUCUCUCAGUCUCUCCUCUCUCACGACUCUCUCAGUCUCUCCUCUCUCACCCUCAAACGUACGAACGAAGCCCCAAAUCCUCCCAUUUCUCACGGAUCGACGCCAAAGAG
This 452-nucleotide long non-coding RNA is filed under the name Malus domestica (apple). RNAcentral's name for it is "long non-coding RNA (MDOM_LNC020216)". The record is from RNAcentral. Lineage: Eukaryota; Viridiplantae; Streptophyta; Magnoliopsida; Rosales; Rosaceae.